CACUCCAGUAUUCUUGCCUGGAGAAUCCCAGGGACGGGAGAGCCUGGUGAGCUGCCAUCUGUAGGGUCACACAGAGUCAGACACGACUGAAGCAACUUAGCAGCAGCAGCAUUGGUUUCUGGGUGUUCCCCUAGGGUCAUUUGUGUCCUAAGAUUUUAGGUCAAAAAAGAUAGACUAGCAUAUUUUUCAGAAGUAGUGUUGACAUGAACACUAACUUUUUGGUGGAAAUAGAGUACACACCAAUGAAUGAACCAACCCAGAUGACACUAUGAUUUUUCUAAGUGUAUCAACAUUUUACUCUUUGAAAAAAUACUGGGAGAUCAGUUUUUCCUGUUUUUCAUUUUGUUUUUUUGUUUUGCAUUUAUAAUCUUUGUAUAUGGACUUACACCAGAUACAGAAAUAGGGGAGCAGAAUAGUGGAGAGGGCAUUUACAAAUAUACUAACUUGUUUUUACUGUUGUUAUCAAUAACAUUAUUAUUUUCACAAAGCAUUCUCUAAUAGGAAUAGGAGAUGACCCUAAAUGGACUUUGAAAGUUUGUUCAGUCUGAACUACCUUCAAGUAGAAAUGUUUUUGUUCACCUUCCGAAGUAGCCCUUAGAGGGAAUAGUGGGAGUAUUUUACGAAGGCUGAACUAAAUUCUCAGGUUCACCUAGCUCUAGUUAAAAGUUUGAAGUGUCUUGGUUUGAUGUCUUUUUGGCUGAUCUGUUUCAUGGUAUCAUUUUUUAGAAGACUUUCUCGCCAAAAGUAGAAAAAGGAAAAAUAGUAACAGAAGGAAACUACUUCAAAAAGUAGUGUUGGAAGUCUGUUCCUCUUCAGAUGACACCAGUGCUUAGAACUUUUGACUCAAAGCUCUUCAUUUCCUACAAAUACUUUUUUUCCACUGUUCCAAAGGUGGAAGAAGCUCUGAAUGGCAAAAAUUCUGUGCUUUUUUAAAACCUGCUGGAUAACUUCUCAUCUCUAAGAGUACUGAAGUUUUGUCAUACCAGACUGUGUAUAACAAAUCACAAAACAUAUGCAUAAAGAAAUCUAGACUCUUCUAAUUGUGCCAAUCCAUGGGUAAAAAACUUACUUCUGGAGCCACACAGCUGUUGAAAUCAGUCAUAUUUACAAUUUUUACAAAUGAGUUUAUUUUAAUAAAAACAAGUUACUCUGUGAACAUGAUCUCUAAACAGAUUUAUGUGGGUUGGCACAAUCUGCUAUGCUAAACAUAUAUUCAUAUUGCUUAGGUCUGCAACCAGUUUUUUCUUUUUUGAGUGAUGAUAACAGUCUUGCUUUGUACAAGGGUACCAAAUAAUUGGCAGCAAUUCAGCUAAGGACACUGUUCUCAGCAUUGAGCUAUUGAAAUUGUUUUCCUGGACAGAACUGCCCUCUGGGCAUGGCCCUAAAUUGGGAGAACUCUGGGCUGCUGGCACUGGGCAGUGAACCAGGCAGACAGCUUAUAGAGAGAAGAAAGCGACUAUAAAUUGAUGCUAAAGAAGAGGGGGAGGGGGAGGAGGAGUGGGAGAAAAGAGAGAAGGCAGAAAAAGGGAGGAAGAGAGAGAGGGAAAGAGGGAGAGAAAGGUAAAAUUUAUAUUCAUAAAUUCAUACCCUUGAAGGGGUCUCUUGAUGUAUUUCUCCUUGAUCUUUCUGACUGCUCACCGUGCUUGAUGUUUUUAUCCUCAGCGUUUUUUGCUUAGUUACUAAACUGUAAUCUCCUUGAAGACAGAAACGUUGCCUGACUCAGCUUUUCAGCUUCCACAGUGCCUGGCAUACACUGGUACUCAAAAACCUAGUUGUUAAAUGCUCAACAAAAGAUGAAUUUCCCUAUCUGAAGCAUUUCAUUUCCUCAGAUAAAUCCUAAGCGUGUCUCGGGGGUCACAGUACUGCCCCCUAGGGGACGUAUUGAAAUUUUGUGGGGGCAUGUUUUGUAUUGUAGCUCUCAUGCUGGUGCCAGGUUUUCCCACAGUGAAAAACAUUUUCUGAUUUUUAUUGAAACUAGUAUAAUAUUUAAAAAUACAUUCCUUUUGCUUAUUUCAUCUUUAUAUUAUUAGACCAUUACAGUGGUUUCUUGUACAUAGUUUACUUGUCAAUAAAUUGAAUUCCAGAAGAGUAAUGUUAAAUUUUUGUUUUGUUGCAUACAGGGUGUGGACUAUGGCUGAUUGAAUGCCUACUUUUACAAGAUUAAGCUUUGCUUGCUUCUGCUUCCACAAGUUCUGGGGUUCUAAGACGAACCAUAUAAGUAAAAGGAAGCGGGUGUACAUUGAUUUCAACCAUCAAGCUUUCGCUUUAAGCAGCUGCAUGUUUUGGGAUUAAUGUGGCUCAGCGGAGCGCUGCUGUCAAAGCACAGAGGGUCUAGGACUGGGG
This 2343-nucleotide long non-coding RNA is filed under the name Bos taurus (domestic cattle). RNAcentral describes it as "long non-coding RNA NONBTAT028126". Lineage: Eukaryota; Metazoa; Chordata; Mammalia; Artiodactyla; Bovidae. The record is from RNAcentral.